Nerophis ophidion (straightnose pipefish) is the source of this 3346-nucleotide long non-coding RNA. RefSeq lists it as uncharacterized. The record is from RefSeq and is a predicted model, not a curated record. The transcript has 3 exons. NCBI's taxonomy places the organism in Eukaryota, Metazoa, Chordata, Actinopteri, Syngnathiformes, Syngnathidae.
CUUCUUAGUCGUCGUCGCCAUGUCUUUUCUUUGUUCUUCUGCUUCGUCUCUGUUAUGUUUUUGGACAUUACUACUUGCCGUAGUUUUGAAGCAAUGCAUGAUGGGAAUCCGGAUGUUGUGUGUCAGUGUAUUAACGUGCCGGCUGGAAUGUACACACGCUGAGAAAUAGCUCCGCCCCUGCCUACUUUAUGGGUUAUAGAUAGACCUAUGGAUAACAGAGACAUAUAUAACAGUCUCUUUUUUAGGUAAAAGAGGAAGCUAAAGGCAAUGCCUUUAUGCACGCUCCCAAUAUUGUUGUCCUGGUGGAAAUCGAGAAAAAUUCGAGACAAUCGUUGCCCCGGGAGAUUUUCGGGAGGGGCAUUGAAAUUCGGGAGACUCCCGGUAAAAUUGGGAGUGUUGGCAAGUAUGAUACCAAACCGUCGGCAAAUGUUUGUGGCAUGCAACCCACAAAUAAAGAUGAAAGCAGAGGCAGGAGGCGGAGAAAGGGACCAAGUAGAGAAAGAAGGAACAGUGUGUUACUGCUCGGGAGGUGUCUUGAGGCCAGUCUCUGAGGGAAGUCGACGCCAGCUGUAUGGAUUGCACAAGCUUUGCUGAUCUCCGGUAAGUAGGCGACUUUUACCACAAUUUUCUCACCGAAAACUGCUGGUUGACAUUUGGUCGGGAUCCAUGUUCGCUUGACCGCUCUGAUCCAUAGGAAAGCUUCACCUCCGGGAAUUUUAAACAAGGAAUCACUGUGUGUUUGUGUGGCUAAAGGCUAAAGCUUCCCAACUCCAUCUUUCUACUUUGACUCCUCCAUUAUUAAUUGAAAAAAUUGCAAAAGAUUCAGCAACACAGAUGUCCAAAAUACUGUGUAAUUAUGCGGUUAAAGUAGACGACUUUUAGCUGUGUGUGUGCACAGCGCUAAUAUUUCCUUACAGUCCGCGACGUCACGCGUACACGUCAUCAUUCCGCGACGUUUUCAACAAGAAACUCCCGGGAAAUUUAAAAUUGCAAUUUAGUAAACUAAAAAGGCCGUAUUGGCAUGUGUUGCAAUUUUGAUAUUUCAUCAUUGAUAUAUAAACUAUCAGACUGCGUGGUCGGUAGUAGUGGGUUUCUGGACACGUGCAAACUUGCACAACCAAUACCGUGGUGUUCAUCGUCUUGCCGAGUUCAAGCCACAGCCCGAAACGUCCCCAGUUAAACGAGGAACCCGGCCGAGGGGGGCCUCCAAGUUAAUUUUAUAUCUAUAACAGUAUAAGUGAAGUGAAUUAUAUUUAUAUAGCGCUUUUCUCUAGUGACUCAAAGCGCUUUUACAUAGUGAAACCCAAUAUGUAAGUUACAUUUACACCAGUGUGGGUGGCACUGGGGGCAGGUGGGUAAAGUGUCUUGCCCAAGGACACAACGGCAGUGACUAGGAUAGGAUCGAACCUGGAACCCUCAAGUUGCUGGCACAGCCACUCUACCAACCGAGCUAUACCGCUAUAACUGCUACACGUCUACCGCGUGGUCAGUAAUUCAGGUGAAUGACUAGGAAUUGUACUUCGACAUGCACGUACCACAGAGUUUCUAACGUAUGACCCAAUCCAAACAACCUUUCCCACUCAUGGCGCAAAUAAACAAAGACGAAAAGUGUGGAUGUUAUAAAAAAAAAAAAAAAAGUCUAAGCACAACACAUAAUUCAAAAUUCGACCUAUUUAAAUCCCCUGCAGUGCAUGAUGGAAACAAAAUGCAAAAUACUUUUCCACAUUGAUCCAAUUUGGGGCUUUAUAGCUGCUUGAUAUUUCUGAUUACAAAACUUUAAAGAGGCCGUCACGGAAGUAAACAAGGUAGGAGUCGAACUUUCACAUACUCUUAAAAUGGAAUAUAUACCGUAUAUUACCAAGUAAACGCCCUUGGGCAAAUAACCGCCCAUGUCUGAGCCCAUUUUGUGAAUCAAACGCCUCUUCCUAAUAAUAGCCCAUGUACAGCGGUAAACCACAACUGAUGGACAGAAAUUCUUUAAGGGGGAAGAAGAACAGAAAGUUUGACUUAAAGUUCAAGCUAGCGGUUGUGAAGUAUGCGGAGAAGAAUUCUGGUUUGGCAGCGGCCAGGCAGUUUAACGUUGACCCAAAGCGUGUACGCGAAUGGAAACAAAAAAAGGGAGAACUACUAUCUCAGUCGGCAAUAGAUGGAAAAUGGGCUCGCUUAUCCGGCGGAGGUAGGAAGAAAGUGAGCGACGAGCUUGAUGCUAAUUUGUGUCAGUGGAUACAUCACCUUUGUGGACUGGACCACCGUGUGUCCCGCAAAAUUAUCCGCAUUAAGGCCAAGGAGUUGUAUGCCACCACGAGAGACACCGGGGUGGUGUUUGGUGCAACGAGUGGCUGGCUUAAUCGAUUUCUGCGUCGGAUCAACUUUACCCUCAGGAGGAGAACAACUGUUGCACAGGAGGACGCUCCCGUCGAGAAGAUUGUCAACAUCCUCGUUUUCUCUACUAAACAGAUAGAGGCCAAGAAAAUCCAGCCCAAAAUGAUUAUCGCCAUGGAUGAAACAGUCGUCUGGUUUGACAUGGUUGGUUUUUAGUACGGUCAAUGAGAGGGGCGCCCGCACCAUCUGCCUAAAAACAACCGGCCACACCGGCUCUUGCAGCCAAAACAGACGGGACAAAGCUGAAGUCUUACAUUGUGUUUAAAGGUGCUGUCCGUGAUGUAAAGGCUAUGCAGAGCAUCCCCGGGGUGAUCAUAGCUUCUUCCAAGAAUAGCUGGUUUAAUGAUGACCUGACAAAGGAUUGGCUCCAGAGGGCGGUGGGGAAGUUUCACUUUGGAUCGAGGCUACUAGCAUGGGACUCGUACCGAUGCCAUAUCAGCGAGGCCACGAAGGCAGAGCUCAAAGGGGGCUACAACCUUACAAUGGCUGUUAUAUCUGGAGGUUGCACAAAGUACCUGCCGGCCCUCAAUGUUGUGUGGAAUGGCCCUUUCUAAGCGCAGCUCCAUGACUACUAUGAUAACUGGAUGGCUGGGGAUAAAGACAAGACCUACACCAAGUCAGGGAACCUGAGAGCCCCUUCCCGCCGCCUCCUGGUCGACUGGGUCCUGGGAGCCUGGGAUGCUCUGAAUCGGGACACUGAUCAACUCAUUCAAGGUGUGUGGGCUGACGGUGGCAGCUGAUGGGAGUGCGGACCAGCUCAUUUACUGCCUCAAGGAGGGACAGCCAUGUCAGGCAGGCAGAGAGAUGCUUUUGGUGGCUAGAAAGCAGGGCCUUGUUGAUCUCUUGUCUUUUGAUAGUCUUGUUUUUUUGUUUGUAUGUUUACAAUAGCUUUUACAUUUAAAGUUUUUUAUACGAAAAAAAAUUCUGGACAGUAACCAUUGUAACCAAAUAAUGGCCUGGUGCA